Notothenia coriiceps (black rockcod) is the source of this 94-nucleotide long non-coding RNA. RefSeq lists it as uncharacterized. Lineage: Eukaryota; Metazoa; Chordata; Actinopteri; Perciformes; Nototheniidae. The record is from RefSeq and is a predicted model, not a curated record. The transcript has 3 exons.
UUUAAGCCUCUAGUAUACGACUUGAACAUUUCCGCAACAUGACACACUUUAAUACUUCAUUUACUCUAUUACUGUUCUACCUCGAUGUGUCUGG